Molecule: long non-coding RNA, 556 nt
Organism: Culex quinquefasciatus (southern house mosquito)
Lineage: Eukaryota; Metazoa; Arthropoda; Insecta; Diptera; Culicidae
Exons: 3
Source: RefSeq, a predicted model, not a curated record
GCAAGAACGCGCUUGGCUAUGUGACCACAUUCAAACGACGUACUUUGUUGAUCAACAGCAAAUUCAGCAACUGAAAAAUACCCUUUUUUAACAAGAAAAAAUACACGUGCUGAUGAUUACCCGCCACCACCAAGACCAAGUGGCCCCAGUAUGUUAUGACCUCAUAAAUGUGCGGUUGAACCAGGGAGAAAGUGGUCGCGGCAAAAGCAGAAAAGCCUACAACAGUUUUACCUAUGUGUGUUUGUGGUUCAAAUCGACGAACCAAAGCACAACAGGCACAAUGGACCAUCAACAAACAACAACCCACGUUAUUGUUCCGAAAAAGCAGAAGCAAUUGCUAUUUAUGCUGUAUUGGACGCGGCAUUAGAAGCACACAUACAAACGAGCACACAUACACACAUGCGAUGCCGAAGCGGAACAGUACCGCUAUCUCGCUGCUUUUCGGGUAUGAUGAGCUCUACUUUUGCCAUUUCUUGGUGCCGCCAAAGCGCGUGAGCUUUUGAAGUUUAUCCUACGCUGAUAUUGAAACAAUGCAAGUGAAAUUAAAUUCAACCUG